Non-coding RNA from Schistosoma mattheei, 45 nucleotides. Lineage: Eukaryota; Metazoa; Platyhelminthes; Trematoda; Strigeidida; Schistosomatidae. The record is from Rfam.
AUUCAUCUGAUGAGUCUCAAAUAGGACGAGACUCACUUCCUGAAU